CUGGUCAAACUGACUGGCUUG
This 21-nucleotide small nuclear RNA is filed under the name Arabidopsis thaliana (thale cress). RNAcentral describes it as "snRNA_04164". The record is from RNAcentral. Lineage: Eukaryota; Viridiplantae; Streptophyta; Magnoliopsida; Brassicales; Brassicaceae.